GGAGGGAUCAUUACAAGAACGCCCGGGCUUCGGCCUGGUUAUUCAUAACCCUUUGUUGUCCGACUCUGUUGCCUCCGGGGCGACCCUGCCUUCGGGCGGGGGCUCCGGGUGGACACUUCAAACUCUUGCGUAACUUUGCAGUCUGAGUAAACUUAAUUAAUAAAUUAAAACUUUUAACAACGGAUCUCUUGGUUCUGGCAUCGAUGAAGAACGCAGCGAAAUGCGAUAAGUAAUGUGAAUUGCAGAAUUCAGUGAAUCAUCGAAUCUUUGAACGCACAUUGCGCCCCCUGGUAUUCCGGGGGGCAUGCCUGUUCGAGCGUCAUUUCACCACUCAAGCCUCGCUUGGUAUUGGGCAACGCGGUCCGCCGCGUGCCUCAAAUCGUCCGGCUGGGUCUUCUGUCCCCUAAGCGUUGUGGAAACUAUUCGCUAAAGGGUGUUCGGGAGGCUACGCCGUAAAACAACCCCAUUUCUAAGGUUGACCUCGGAUCAGGUAGGGAUACCCGCUGAACUUAAGC
Molecule: ribosomal RNA, 515 nt
Filed under: Cladosporium herbarum
Lineage: Eukaryota; Fungi; Ascomycota; Dothideomycetes; Cladosporiales; Cladosporiaceae
Description: eukaryotic LSU rRNA
Rfam family: 5.8S ribosomal RNA (bases 169-322)
Source: RNAcentral